RNAcentral lists this unclassified non-coding RNA (253 nucleotides) under uncultured Bacillaceae bacterium. RNAcentral describes it as "contains 16S-23S intergenic spacer region". It matches the Rfam family "Bacterial small subunit ribosomal RNA", at positions 524 to 776 of the family's 1533-position model. The record is from RNAcentral. Lineage: Bacteria; Bacillati; Bacillota; Bacilli; Caryophanales; Bacillaceae.
UACGUAGGUGGCAAGCGUUAUCCGGAAUUAUUGGGCGUAAAGCGCGCGCAGGUGGUUUCUUAAGUCUGAUGUGAAAGCCCACGGCUCAACCGUGGGAGGUCAUUGGAAACUGGGAAACUUGAGUACAGAAGAGGAAAGUGGAAUUCCACGUGUAGCGGUGAAAUGCGUAGAUAUGUGGAGGAACACCAGUGGCGAAGGCGACUUUCUGGUCUGUAACUGACACUGAGGCGCGAAAGCGUGGGGAGCAAACAGG